GCCGCUUAGAUCAAUUGAGAUGAAAGGUAAAGCACGUUCUGGCCAUUGCUCAUGCCCACUUUUAAGUAUAUUUUUAGCAUUCCUUCCAAGGUUACAAUCCUCUUCAGUGGAACUCUGAAUUUAAUUCAAACUUCUGCAAGCUUCCACACUCGGCCAAAGCAUGACAAUAAAAAUUAUCUGGGCACAAUUAAAGUGCACGGAUGUAAGAUACAGAAACGGUAAGCAUGAAGCAUAAACACAAAGGCAGAUUCUAGUUAGGCUCUGCUCACCUGCAGCAGAGGCCGGCAGCGACGUGUGCUCCGUUCUGUUCAUACAAUCAGAUCUUAGGCAGCGCAGUCGACACAGACGCACAGCGUCGACACAAAAGCAUGGUGUGCAGAGGAAUCGAUGCAGCGGCAGAGAAACAACUUCGUGGCGGUGGCCUUUGCACAAUUGCAGCGGCAGAGAAGCAAGAAACGUUUUCGUGACUUCGUGUCUGUUGUUUGUGCAUAGAAACGCAACAAGACAGGGAUGAUCUAACGAAACUGCGAAUGUGUCAAGCGAAGAGCCAAAGAGCGUGGGCGAGUGUGCCUUGUCUUUCUCUCUCUCUCUCUUUUGUCAGUGACCAAACCGCAAAGACAAAAGUACCGUUAUUUGCGAGCCAUUGCCUGGACACAAUUAGAAUGUUUAGAUUGAAAAAUAACAACAGCUGC
Molecule: long non-coding RNA, 692 nt
Filed under: Drosophila guanche
Lineage: Eukaryota; Metazoa; Arthropoda; Insecta; Diptera; Drosophilidae
Source: RNAcentral